Terrapene triunguis (Three-toed box turtle) is the source of this 2137-nucleotide long non-coding RNA. RefSeq lists it as uncharacterized. Lineage: Eukaryota; Metazoa; Chordata; Testudines; Emydidae. The transcript is spliced from 3 exons. The record is from RefSeq and is a predicted model, not a curated record.
UCCCUUGCCCACUCAGUCAGCCCCCAGUGCGGGGGGAGGCGUGGGGUGUCCAGACUCUGUCAGUAAUUAUGUCUUUUCACCCCCCCUCCUCCGCCACUAACUGAUCUAUAAUUUGGUACCCAAGUUUGAUUUUUCUCUUGCACUCUCUUUACUUCCUCUCCCUCCCCCCGCUACUCCGCGUGAAACUGGAUCAAAAAUAUCAAAGGGGAUUACACUUUAACCCAGUGCCUUCCUGCGAGCACUCCUAAGGCCGCGACAAUGUUCUCCAGCCUUGUCUAUAUGGAUUUCAAAAGCUCUGUGUCUCCAAGUAACGCUUCAGCAUCCUUUGUGAUGGGAUCUAUUGUGUGUGAGCAUCAUCGUCAGUCUCUAAGACAAGUUUUUUUUUAACUUUCAAUCUUUGCGAAGAGAUUGCUAGAUCUCAGUCCAGAGCUGCUCUGGGUGCAGAACUACUCCACUGAAGAGAUCGCUCCAUUUACAACAGCCAAGAGGAAUUUGAGUAGGAAGGAAAAUAUUGAUGAAAAUGAAAUUUUGACAAAUAUCGGAAAUGAAAUUCAGAGAAAAUUCUCAUGCUGUUUCACCCAUCAACCAACAGUGCAUUUAGUAUAAGGUUAUGAAAGAACAAUACUUUUCAUACAAGUAAGUGUCCAAAUUAUUGCUAAUAAAAAUGGAUCUGGACAAUUGUUUGAAAUGUAAAACACUAUAUUUAUAUGUGAUUGUUAUUAGAAUUACUUUUGAUCUCCUGCUGUUCUCUUCUUUAAAAGUUAGAUUUGUUAGCUUUUCCUUAGAAUGUUGUGACUUAUAUAUGUUAUAAGAGAGGGAUUGGAUGGCUCAGAGAAUUGGUAAUGGAUCCAGAGCCAUUCACUUCUGCAUCACCCCUCUAAUUUAACACAGGCUGGCAGUGACUGAAAGUUAAUCUAAUGGCUGUUUGGUAGUUUAUGUGAAAUCGAUUCGUGGUUUACACACAGUUCCAACAGGACAAGAAUCCACAUUGUAAAAAAAUCUCUGGGCCAGAUCCUUGGCUGCUGUUAAUCAUUGCAGCUCCAGUGAUUUCAAUGGAGCAAUGGUAAUUUACACCAAUAAAUGGCCGUCUAUCACUGCUGGCACUAGUUAACGUGUGUUGUCAGGCUCAAUACAGAUGACAAUGAUUCAGUGAGGAGGAAGAUUAUGGGCAGAUUCUCAGCUGGUGUAAACCAGUGUCAUACCAUUGAAGUUAAGGUAACUAUACUGAUUUACCAGCUGAGGCUCUAGCACUAAAUGCCUAUAGGUGGACAUGUCAGGUCAAGUUUGAGCCACAGUUAGAGUUGCUUGCACCACUGAUGUUGCGCUGUACCGGGUGUUUGACUAUAAAGAGAACCUUAAUAUUCAGGGCUGUCAAUGAGUGUUAACUUACAAGCAACAAAAUGUACUCAUUUAUCUUAAAAUCUUGUGGAAAAAAUCUAGGGACUAAUUCUACACCCAUUGAAGUCUGAUGUGUGUGAGAUAUUGUGGUAAAAUAUAAGUGAAAGUCCUAAGUAAGUGUUAUGAGAACUGUCCUUUUCUUGAUAUGUGUACAUUGUCCUAACAAAUACUUGAAUGUGAGUUGCAUAUGUGUGGUAAGAAGAGAAGAGGUCCCUAUGAACACAAACAAACUCUGCUCAUGAAAAGCAGCAGUAUUUUGCAGUGGUAGCCACAAAUGCUGCAAUACCACUCCUGGGGUGAACACAUAUUUAUUAAAUAACCAUUUAAUGUGAAACAAUAUUGUUACCUAGAUUUUAAGCUCUCCAAGGAAGGGGCUUUUGGUCCAGAUUUUAAAAGAUAUUUAGGUGCCUAAAGAUGCAGAUAGGCAUCUAAUGGGAUUUUCAAAGCAGGAUUGCUGCUUCACAGUUGGGGAAUAUGAUCCCUUAUUCCUUAUACUCAUAUUUGUCUUUAAAAACAACUAGCACAUAUUUGAUUAUAUAUAUAUUAUAAAUAUAUUAAAUAACAACAGGGGUUCUAAGAAGGACUAUACAAGUAAUCUAAUAAUGUGUGUACUACUGAGGACCCUUGACACAUACAUACAAAUUCUUAUGAAUGAAUAUUGUAUUGUGAUACCCUAACUAUAUGAAUUGCAGAUUGAGUCCUCUGUAAGCUAUUCUUAGUGGCGUCAUUCAAUGGAAAU